UAAUACAUGCAGUCGAGCGGACAGAAGGGAGCUUGCUCCCGGAUGUAGCGGCGGACGGGUGAGUAACACGUGGGUAACCUGCCUGUAAGACUGGGAUAACUCCGGGAAACCGGAGCUAAUACCGGAUAGUUCCUUGAACCGCAUGGUUCAAGGAUGAAAGACGGUUUCGGCUGUCACUUACAGAUGGACCCGCGGCGCAUUAGCUAGUUGGUGGGGUAAUGGCUCACCAAGGCGACGAUGCGUAGCCGACCUGAGAGGGUGAUCGGCCACACUGGGACUGAGACACGGCCCAGACUCCUACGGGAGGCAGCAGUAGGGAAUCUUCCGCAAUGGACGAAAGUCUGACGGAGCAACGCCGCGUGAGUGAUGAAGGUUUUCGGAUCGUAAAGCUCUGUUGUUAGGGAAGAACAAGUGCGAGAGUAACUGCUCGCACCUUGACGGUACCUAACCAGAAAGCCACGGCUAACUACGUGCCAGCAGCCGCGGUAAUACGUAGGUGGCAAGCGUUGUCCGGAAUUAUUGGGCGUAAAGGGCUCGCAGGCGGUUUCUUAAGUCUGAUGUGAAAGCCCCCGGCUCAACCGGGGAGGGUCAUUGGAAACUGGGAAACUUGAGUGCAGAAGAGGAGAGUGGAAUUCCACGUGUAGCGGUGAAAUGCGUAGAGAUGUGGAGGAACACCAGUGGCGAAGGCGACUCUCUGGUCUGUAACU
RNAcentral lists this ribosomal RNA (707 nucleotides) under Bacillus sp. MO.05. Its description in RNAcentral is "bacterial SSU rRNA". It matches the Rfam family "Bacterial small subunit ribosomal RNA", at positions 49 to 741 of the family's 1533-position model. Lineage: Bacteria; Bacillati; Bacillota; Bacilli; Caryophanales; Bacillaceae. The record is from RNAcentral.